Lucilia cuprina (Australian sheep blowfly) is the source of this 578-nucleotide long non-coding RNA. RefSeq lists it as uncharacterized. The transcript has 5 exons. The record is from RefSeq and is a predicted model, not a curated record. Lineage: Eukaryota; Metazoa; Arthropoda; Insecta; Diptera; Calliphoridae.
ACAAUAUAACGAGUAUUUUAACAGCUAUGUGGCAUCCCCCUCUAUAACCAACAAAUUGCAACGAAUUUUCAAAGAAUCAUAUUCAGCGAGUAAAUUAUACCAUUUUUUCUUUAUAAAAACAACUUCCAAAAGUAAUACACGUGGAAAAAGAAACUCCAGAAAGAUAUUGAAAAUGAAUUUAAUAAAAGGCAGCUAAAUUCAUUCAGAAUGAAAAACACCACGUGUUUUUCUUAAAGUGAACAAAUAAAAAAUAUGGCGUCCUAUGGAGACUGAAAAUCUUUUAAGGUUAGCUUUCCGGUUUCAAAGGAUAUCGUCGACAAGAUGUUUAAAAAAAUUGUAAAAGUUAAUAAAAUGAAACCUAUAAUUUAAAGCAGAAUUUCUGCUUUUGAGGAGGAUGGUCCAGAAACUAUUGUGACUCCAUAUUUUAAAGCUAAAUUGCUGCUUUUGGAGAGAAUGGUCCAGAAACUACCACAAGAUGAUACUUUUUGUGGAAUAAAAAGUUGGCAAUAACUUUUCUUAAAAUAAACAUCAUGUUAUUCUAAAGAAAGAAGAAAAUAAAAUAUAUAUUUAUAAAAAAC